GAGUCAAAGGCAUUUUCAUCAUUUUCUUCUGCUAAUGGUCAAGGACAAAAGUUCCUUGUUGUCCAAAAGACCAUUCAAUGAAAAGAUUCUCAAGAGAUCUAAAUGAAAAGAUUUUUCUUCUUCAGGUUAAUCACUUUUGUCCAAAAAACCAUUCAAUUCUCAAACCCUUGGAUUCUUCUCCAUAGAUUUAGGCAUGGAUCAUAUCA
Molecule: unclassified non-coding RNA, 206 nt
Filed under: Hevea brasiliensis (rubber tree)
Lineage: Eukaryota; Viridiplantae; Streptophyta; Magnoliopsida; Malpighiales; Euphorbiaceae
Source: RNAcentral